RNAcentral lists this non-coding RNA (117 nucleotides) under Krasilnikoviella flava. Its description in RNAcentral is "Promicromonospora flava SAM-IV sequence". It matches the Rfam family "SAM (S-adenosyl methionine) riboswitch aptamer". From Rfam's summary of the family: SAM-IV is a mRNA element that regulates gene expression via direct sensing of S-adenosylmethionine (SAM or AdoMet). SAM-IV riboswitches share conserved nucleotide positions with the previously described SAM-I riboswitches sequence analysis and molecular recognition experiments suggest that SAM-I and SAM-IV riboswitches share similar ligand binding sites, but have different scaffolds. Lineage: Bacteria; Bacillati; Actinomycetota; Actinomycetes; Micrococcales; Promicromonosporaceae. The record is from Rfam by way of RNAcentral.
GGUCAAGAGCGCCAGCGUCAAGCCCCGGCUCGCUGGCCGGCAACCCUCCUCUCGCGGCGGGGUGCCCCGGGUGACGACCUGGCCCCGCGCCGUCCGGCGUGCGGGCAAGCGCGGGGA